CCGUGCAAAGGUAGCAUWWUCMCUUGUCCUUUAAAUGGGGGCUUGCAUGAAUGGCAUCACGAGGAUUAAACUGUCUCCCUCUUUCAAUCAGUGAAACUAAUCUCCCUGUGAAAAAGCAGGAAUGAUUAUAUAAGACGAGAAGACCCUAUGGAGCUUUAAACUAAAUAGUAUUUGCUUACMCUUUCUAACGAAUUAACACCAACAGCAUUUUACCUAUAAGUUUUUGGUUGGGGCGMCCCUGGAGAAAAACUCAUCCUCCAUGCUGAAAUAACUUAAAAUUUAAACCCAGAAGUCCCAACUUUCCGAAUCAGCAAAUUGACWUCKAUUGACCCAAAWAUUUGACCAACGAACMAAGUUACCCUAGGGAUAACAGYGCCWUCCACYUUGAGAGKACAUAUCGMCWAGUGGGCUUWCGAC
Molecule: ribosomal RNA, 417 nt
Filed under: Craugastor sp. FMNH 257561
Lineage: Eukaryota; Metazoa; Chordata; Amphibia; Anura; Craugastoridae
Description: partial 16S ribosomal RNA
Rfam family: Bacterial large subunit ribosomal RNA
Source: RNAcentral